UGCCAGCAGCCGCGGUAAUACGAAGGGUGCAAACGUUGCUCGGAAUCAUUGGGCGUAAAGCGCGCGUAGGCGGCUUGGCAAGUUGGAUGUGAAAGCCCUGGGCUCAACCCAGGAAGUGCAUCCAAAACUGCCUGGCUUGAAUCUCGGAGGGGGUCAGGGAAUUCCCGGUGUAGAGGUGAAAUUCGUAGAUAUCGGGAGGAACACCAGUGGCGAAGGCGCUGACCUGGACGAAGAUUGACGCUGAGGCGCGAAAGCGUGGGGAGCAAACAGGAUUAGAUA
This 279-nucleotide ribosomal RNA is filed under the name uncultured bacterium. RNAcentral's name for it is "partial 16S ribosomal RNA". It matches the Rfam family "Bacterial small subunit ribosomal RNA", at positions 506 to 784 of the family's 1533-position model. The record is from RNAcentral.